AAACCUUCAUCCGCCGCGGGAACCUGCUGCGUCAGGAUAAGGUUAUAGAACGUUGUUAACCGAUUCUCCUAGAAUUACAGAUGCUCAAUCUGGUGCUGGCAAGCCAACUACCCAUUCACCAACCAUUAGUCGAGAUCCUUGGACUUUAUCUUUUAUUUUCUUUAGCAAAUUUUAAUGAUUCCCAUUUAAGCACUAUGCCAUCAAUUUUUUUACCUUCUUCUAUUCCAACAUGUUUACAGAAAGAAGCUCAUGCACGGGACAGAGUCUCUUCUCGAGCAGGUUUCCCCAAUUGGUUUAAUUGUGAUUUUAAAAAUAAAACUGUUGUAUUUUAUUAUAACAA
Molecule: long non-coding RNA, 340 nt
Organism: Galeopterus variegatus (Sunda flying lemur)
Lineage: Eukaryota; Metazoa; Chordata; Mammalia; Dermoptera; Cynocephalidae
Exons: 2
Source: RefSeq, a predicted model, not a curated record